Molecule: ribosomal RNA, 412 nt
Filed under: Fejervarya limnocharis (Boie's wart frog)
Lineage: Eukaryota; Metazoa; Chordata; Amphibia; Anura; Dicroglossidae
Description: partial 16S ribosomal RNA
Rfam family: Bacterial large subunit ribosomal RNA
Source: RNAcentral
CUUGACUUCCAUAAGAGGUCCAGCCUGCCCAGUGAUACUAUUAAACGGCCGCGGUACCCUGACCGUGCGAAGGUAGCAUAAUAACUUGUUCUUUAAAUGGGGACUAGCAUGAACGGCAUCACGAGGGUCUCACUGUCUCCUUUUUCUAAUCAGUGAAACUGAUCCCCCCGUGAAGAAGCGGGGAUAAAAAUAUAAGACGAGAAGACCCCAUGGAGCUUUAAACCCAAUAGACACCUCUGACUAAUCUAACCCAAAACACUUCUUAAGUUCUGUCUAUUGGUUUUAGGUUGGGGUGACCACGGAGUACAAUAAAUCCUCCAUGACGUACGGGACUUCCCUCUUAUCCUUGAACCACAUUUCUAAGAAUCAACAAAUUGACGUUUGAUGAUCCAAUAUAUUGAUCAACGGACCA